GCUUAACACAUGCAAGUCGAACGGAUUAAAUAAGCUUGCUUAUUUCGUUAGUGGCGCACAGUUGAGUAAUGUAUAGCUAACCUGCCCUUUAGUGGGGGACAACACUUGGAAACGACUGCUCAUACCCCAUACUCCUUCUUAUCAUAAGGUAACUUGGGAAAGCAUUUAUUGCUAAAGGAUGGGGCUUUAUGGUAUCAGCUUGUUGGUGGGGCAACGGCCUACCAUGGCGAUGACACCUACCUGGUCUGAUAGGAUGAUCAGGCACACUGGAACUGAGACACGGUCCACACUCCUACAGAAGGCAGCAGUGGGGAAUAUUGCGCAAUGGAGGAAACUCUGAUGCAACAACACCACGCGCAGGAUGACCCAUUUCGGUGUGUAAAUUCCUUUCAUAAGGGAAGAUAAUGACGGUACCUUAUGAAUAAACACCGGCUCACUCCGUGCCAGCAGCCGCGGUAAUAC
RNAcentral lists this ribosomal RNA (462 nucleotides) under uncultured bacterium. RNAcentral describes it as "bacterial SSU rRNA". It matches the Rfam family "Bacterial small subunit ribosomal RNA", at positions 46 to 526 of the family's 1533-position model. The record is from RNAcentral.